GUUUCGGCUCGUAAAGCUCUGUUGUUAAAGAAGAACACGUAUGAGAGUAACUGUUCAUACGUUGACGGUAUUUAACCAGAAAGUCACGGCUAACUACGUGCCAGCAGCCGCGGUAAUACGUAGGUGGCAAGCGUUAUCCGGAUUUAUUGGGCGUAAAGAGAGUGCAGGCGGUUUUCU
RNAcentral lists this ribosomal RNA (177 nucleotides) under Limosilactobacillus fermentum. RNAcentral describes it as "Lactobacillus fermentum partial 16S ribosomal RNA". It matches the Rfam family "Bacterial small subunit ribosomal RNA", at positions 415 to 584 of the family's 1533-position model. Lineage: Bacteria; Bacillati; Bacillota; Bacilli; Lactobacillales; Lactobacillaceae. The record is from RNAcentral.